Molecule: ribosomal RNA, 348 nt
Filed under: uncultured bacterium
Lineage: Bacteria
Description: bacterial SSU rRNA
Rfam family: Bacterial small subunit ribosomal RNA
Source: RNAcentral
ACUCCUACGGGAGGCAGCAGUGGGAAUAUUGCACAAUGGGCGCAAGCCUGAUGCAGCCAUGCCGCGUGUAUGAAGAAGGCCUUCGGGUUGUAAAGUACUUUCAGCAGGGAGGAAGGUGGUAGUGUUAAUAGCGCUAUCAUUUGACGUUAGCUGCAGAAGAAGCACCGGGCUAACUCCGUGCCAGCAGCCGCGGUAAUACGGAGGGUGCGAGCGUUAAUCGGAAUUACUGGGCGUAAAGCGCAUGCAGGUGGUUUGUUAAGUCAGAUGUGAAAGCCCGGGCUCAAGCCUCGGAAUUGCAUUUGAAACUGGCAGACUAGAGUACUGUAGAGGGGGGUGGAGUAAUUGAUC